GCAGUCGAGCGGGGGAAGGUAGCUUGCUACUGGACCUAGCGGCGGACGGGUGAGUAAUGCUUAGGAAUCUGCCUAUUAGUGGGGGACAACAUUCCGAAAGGAAUGCUAAUACCGCAUACGUCCUACGGGAGAAAGCAGGGGACCUUCGGGCCUUGCGCUAAUAGAUGAGCCUAAGUCGGAUUAGCUAGUUGGUGGGGUAAAGGCCUACCAAGGCGACGAUCUGUAGCGGGUCUGAGAGGAUGAUCCGCCACACUGGGACUGAGACACGGCCCAGACUCCUACGGGAGGCAGCAGUGGGGAAUAUUGGACAAUGGGGGGAACCCUGAUCCAGCCAUGCCGCGUGUGUGAAGAAGGCCUUAUGGUUGUAAAGCACUUUAAGCGAGGAGGAGGCUACUAGUAUUAAUACUACUGGAUAGUGGACGUUACUCGCAGAAUAAGCACCGGCUAACUCUGUGCCAGCAGCCGCGGUAAUACAGAGGGUGCGAGCGUUAAUCGGAUUUACUGGGCGUAAAGCGUGCGUAGGCGGCCAUUUAAGUCAAAUGUGAAAUCCCCGAGCUUAACUUGGGAAUUGCAUUCGAUACUGGAUGGCUAGAGUAUGGGAGAGGAUGGUAGAAUUCCAGGUGUAGCGGUGAAAUGCGUAGAGAUCUGGAGGAAUACCGAUGGCGAAGGCAGCCAUCUGGCCUAAUACUGACGCUGAGGUACGAAAAGCAUGGGGAGCAAACAGGAUUAGAUACCCUGGUAGUCCAUGCCGUAAACGAUGUCUACUAGCCGUUGGGGCCUUUGAGGCUUUAGUGGCGCAGCUAACGCGAUAAGUAGACCGCCUGGGGAGUACGGUCGCAAGACUAAAACUCAAUGAAUUGACGGGGGCCCGCACAAGCGGUGGAAGCAUGUGGUUUAAUUCGAUGCAACGC
Molecule: ribosomal RNA, 911 nt
Filed under: Bacillus sp. NM3
Lineage: Bacteria; Bacillati; Bacillota; Bacilli; Caryophanales; Bacillaceae
Description: bacterial SSU rRNA
Rfam family: Bacterial small subunit ribosomal RNA
Source: RNAcentral